Molecule: long non-coding RNA, 1589 nt
Organism: Drosophila nasuta
Lineage: Eukaryota; Metazoa; Arthropoda; Insecta; Diptera; Drosophilidae
Exons: 3
Source: RefSeq, a predicted model, not a curated record
UACUGUUCAAGGCUGAUUGCUAUCACAAAAUGGAUGGAUUAUUAACUCUCACUCGCUCACAUACUAUACACACACACACAUACAUAUACACUAUUCAUACAAAAGUUGGACUUUCCAUUCAAAUAAAUCUGUUUCAAUAAACCCGAAAUGAAUCACUUUCCGAAACGCAUUGAAAAUAUACGACAUAUAUUUGUCAUAUUCAUUGAAAAGAAAUUCAUUUACAAAUAUGUACAUAAUGUAUAAUGUAUAUAUAUAUAAAUAUAUAUACGUAUAUAUGUACAUAUAUGGUUUAAGACAGAUUAGGGCAGGCACAACAAUGGACAACAACAAUGGGAACGAAACUCAGAAACGCAGACGUCACAAACUGAUAAGCAACAGCAGCAGCAAUGAGUGAGCGAGAAAGCGAGAAGCAGACAAGGAACAAGAGAGACAGAGUCGGGUCUGUACUUCUUCUUGUUGUUAGGAUUUCGGAAAAUUUUCCGAAUUGAUAAGAGCAUUUUUAAAUACAUUUUGCGAGCGAUCCCUAGCAUCAGAUAGUAUGCUAUAUAUGCUAUAUAUAAAUACAAUAUGUUUACAACAAAAUUCCCAAAAUGCACUCAACAACGUCUGGAAUUCGAUAUAUGAUAUGAGUACGACUUUGAAUACGACGAACAUUAAAGAAUCACUCCAAUUAUGAUUUAUCUAUAAGAAUUUCGCUGGAAUCUAGAAUCACAAAAAGUUGAAUGGAAUCACGUGACUAACUGAAAUGACGAAACUCAUUCAAGAAUAGAUCAACAAUAUGAUAUUGUAUCGAACAUAUCAAUCUUAUCAUUCCAUGCAAACAACGUCAAAUUGUUUUGCCAUAUCAGAUCUAUGUUUUCAUUUCUGUUUCUGUGGCAUUUUUUUUUCGGUCUAUUUUUAAAAUUCCAGUUUAAUGACUGUACUGUAUAAUAGUCGUAACUUCCAGUUGAGGAGGGGAGGAAAUGGAAAAUUUGCCAAUGAAAGAGAAAAUAAAAGAAAAGUAUUUGAAUUGGGCAUUGCAUGUGAAUGCGAAUGCGAAUGUAAUAUGCAUAUGACUCAGCGGCCAUUUGCAGCAGCGAGUGCCGACUCACUUUGUUGUUCUCGUCCCCUUGACCUUCAGUUGUUGUUGUGGCGCAAGGGAAACAAACAAAGUUUCACCAACCUCUCUCUCUCUCUCUCGCUCUAUCCCAACUACCAUAUAUAUCAUCCAUAGUAUCCACAUCUACCACCCACUAAUCACUCUCCAGCCCUUAUCAUUCUCCAGCCCUGGCCACCUUCAUUCCACUCACACACACAUGUACACACGCAUACAAUUUCCGUUCACUAAUUACACAAACAAAUAGCAAAGAAGCAAGUGAAUAAAGAACAAAAAUAAAUAUAAUACACAAUAAACAAAACAGACGCCAAAAUGGCAGGCAAAUUGAACAAUAGAAACCAAAUGGAAUUUAUCUACAUAUAUGUGUGUAUAUUCAUUAUGCUUCUUCUUCUUCUUAUUGAACAUUCGAAUAUGGAAGAAAGCCGACUCUAAUGAUUGAAAAUCAAUGAAAAUAAUAAUGUAAUUAGAAUUUCGUAGUGGGAAUUGCAUUAAA